CAUUGAGCCAUAAUACUAAAGGUUUAGUGGAAGAGUUAUAUGGAGACUCCACAAAAUAAUAGAAAAGUUCUCUACCAGCCUCAGGAUCAACUGUGACAUAGCCUGAAUAUUGGUCAAAAUUUACCCCAUAGGGUUGACCAGGCAAUGUGUCAAUCUUGUCAGCUUGCAUUAGCCCCUCUUGAGGUGCAACAUCAGCAGUAGAAAACGAAGAAUGUGUUUUCAAUGCAUCUUCCUCUUCCCAUGAAAGAGUCUUAGGAGGAUUCUGUGAGGUUCUAGACAGAAUAAACUCAACAAGUUUAUCAGCUUGACUAGCUUUGCAAUAUGGAAAAAUAACCAAUAGACUCAAGUUGAGUAGUAAACAAGCAUAAAGAGAAACCUUCUUCAUCUUGUUCUCAACUUGGCUUCAAUAUAUCAUAAGUUUCUAACUAUUUAUAGAUGAAAAACAGUGGCAAUUUUGCAGGGACUUAUUUGGUUGUGCUUGUUUGAAUCAUGUGAAAGAAAUAAGAGAGUUAACAGUACUGUUGACCAAUGACCAUGCAUUGGUCAGCCGGCUGACCGACCAGGUAAUGGAUUGUUCUUGUUUCCGUUUUUCUAGAAUCAUGUAUCAAGUUAUUUAACAUUUUAGUACUAUGUGAUUAACUUUGAAAGUUAAUGGAUGUUUGUUCCUCUAACUUAUUGUUGUUUAUAUGCAUUUGUACACUGUCUCAGAGUAUUUGUAAUUUGGUUGCUUAGGGGUGGGAAUAUGCUUGCUCGUGCUAGGCUCUGCAUAAGUAAAAUAUGUGUUCAAAAAAUUGAACUACUUAGUCUUACAUGGUAUAUUUCAUAUUUAAAUAAGUAAUUUUUCCUAUAUAACAAGCUAAUUUGUUCCCUAAAAAAAAAACAAGCUAAUUUGUCAAUGAGAUUAAGUUUUAUUUUGAGAUUUAACAUGACCUUUUAGAGAAUUCAAUUUUAAUCGACAUUUGCUCCUAUUUAAAUUCUAUUUUACAGUAAUACAUUUAUUUGUAUUAAGAAUUGAUCAGUAGGGUAAUACACUUAAAUUAUUGUUUUGGUUGAUGAAUUUUUUUAUCCAAUGUAAAGUCAUAUCUGGAGAGAACUUGAGUACGAUAUUUUAAUUUCUAUCCCUAACAUAUUACUAACUAUACUAUUUUUUUUCUUCAAAAGCAUACUAAUAUUUUUCAUUAAAAAAAAUUUAACGCUACCUUGUAAAUAAACGAUAUACGACAAGUACGCAACUUCUAAAUUUUACAAUACCGGAUUUGUGUGUAUUGAAUAAAUAUAUUUUUUGUUAAGAUCCACCAAAUGAAAAAUAGUUGUAAAAUUAUUGGUAAUAUAACAUGUCUUUAUGAAUAGUGCAGUAUGUGUAUGUUAUUUUAAGUCCAAUUAUCCUACCAAAAAUGGUAUCGGGGAUAAUCGAAUCCAAGACCUUGAAUAGUGCAAUUGUGAAGAAACAAUGUAAGUUUGGAGAGAAUGAUUGCUAUCGAACAACUCUAUUUUGAUUACACAAACUUAUACGUUAUAAGUUAGGGGUUUGACCUUGCCAAAUAGAACCACAAUGAAGUGGAAAACUUGAAGGUUUUUUACUGAUUUUUCUAGAGAAAAUAAUAAAGAUGCGAGUAAUGGUGGGAGUAGCUUAUGAAGUUGCAUUAUUAAAAGGGUAUUUGUAUUUCAAAUUUCUUACCAUAUCAAAAGAUUGAGAUCUCUUAUCAACUAAUUUGAUUCAUCACAAAUGUGACAUAAAAAACCUCUCACAACAAUGGACUAAGGGAGAACCUAUAAUAUGGCCACAUUAGAUUUAAAUCGGUUGACACUUGACAUGUAACAAAAUCUUUAAUUGAAAGUUCAAACUAAUUUUUUUUUUAUUACAAUCUAACUAGUAGAUUAUGCACAGAGUGCAUUUCAAGGAAGUAAAUUUGAAACAUUGAUCAUGCUCAGAACCCUUUAAUUUGAUGGUGAAGCAGGAGGCAGGAUUCCAUAUAGGAAUGAUGAGAUCAAAGUCAAAGCACGUUCAGGUUGCCAGCUUGGAACAAGAUGUCCUGCUCCUCUUACUGUAACAAAUGUCAAUCCUUUGUAUCCCACCACAUAUCCUCCAAUCUGUCAUUAUUAUUACAAUUUGGUCGCAUUGCAAAAAUGUUAUUACUUGGUCUAGAAGAAACGUCAAUAAGUCAGUCAUAUAUCGAGUAAAUUAGCAUUUUGACACUCAAAAUUGUAAGGGUUGAGCAAUUUAGUCUCUUAAUUUUUAAAAUAUAAUAAAUUACCCCCCUUAAAUUAUAGAAUGUCAGAUCAAUCUAAUCUCUCCUUUAAUUUGAAAUAUAAAUAGACUAAUUUCAGUACCUCUUUUCCAGAAUACCAUGGACGCCAAGCAGCGUUAAUAGGGAGCUUAAGGGUGUUGAUUGAGUAUCUUGAAGAUGUGACUGGAACAACUGAAUCUGUAUCACCACUGUAGGAGAAUACACCAUCAAGAUUUAGGAGUUUGGAAUUUUUACAAAACAAAAAUUGUAACCUCUCAUCAUUCAAAACAAGAGUCUAGAUGUUACGUAUAUUAUUGUUCUUGUGAAUUCAAAUGGUCAUAACAAUUUAUACUAUAAUGAAUGUGAACUUGCCUGUAUAUCCAUAGCUUAAUGCCACUGUCGAUGAGGUACUUGACGGUGGGUAGGAUUGUAAUUGGACUGUCUUUCCAGUCAGUAAGAAGAUGACUAUGAAUUGUCAUAAAAAAUAACACAUUCUAAAUUAGAUAAAAAAAAAUACAUUUAUAUAAGUGUUAAAAAAAAGUACUAUUUUGAAAUUUCUUAAAAGUGAUUAUAGAAUAUUACGUGCAAUGGGUCCAAUUUGUAGGUUUUGCAUGAAGAGCCUUUUGAACCUCUGGUGUAUUUAGAUAGGCAGCACCAUAGUAAUCAGAACAAGGGUCAAAGUCAUUAGUUACAUAACCAGUUGAGCCAUUUUUGAGAGAAGAGUCAUGACAUAGUGGAGCAUAGAUGUUAUAGGAGUCUAUCUUUCCUUGCUCAAGGAAGGCCUUAUGUGUUGCAUUGAUACAAAUUGAUGAAACGUUUUCAGAAGUGAAGUCACAAUACUUCUCAAUCAACUCAUGAGUUUGAUCCGAGUUCAACGCAUGAGUCCAAAGGUAAUCAAAUAACCCCCUUAAACCUGUGGCAUCAUCAAUCCAAGCAUUCCCUAUCUGAAAUUUUUUAUUGUAAAGAUAAUGAUAAAGUUAGAUUUAUGAGGUUGACAGUUAUAUUGCAUUAUUAGUCUUUCAAAGUUUGAACAACAUACAGAAAUGCCUUUGAGGUUAAUAGUGGUGUUGUUAUAGAGUUUAUUGUUGUGAAGAAUAGUCGAUGCAAGCUGCGGAACAUAGUGACCAGCAUAACUCUCUCCAGUUAUGUAAAAAGCUCUUGUUUUGUACUGUGGAAAUCUCUCCAGCCAGUUGAUGAGGAAAACAUAGGCAUCUUUAGCGGUGGACUUAUCUCCUGAAUUGUCAUAGUCAGAUGUUGUGUUUGAGUAGGAAAAUCCUACUCCUGCCGGAGAUUCCAAGAAGAGUACAUUUGCAACUGCAUAUUUCAUAAGGAUAUAAGUUGGUAAGAUAAUCAUGUCUCAGGCAUGCAUCAUAAAGAAAUAAAUUAGUUAUAUUGAUGAUUGUCUCACCUUCAUUCCAAGCAUAUGGGUUGCGGUAUAAUGUUUUUCCAUCAGAAUUGACUCUGAAGGGUCCGAGCUCUUGAAAGGCUCCAUAUCCCAGUGAGGAACAACCAGGUCCUGCGAGUUUCAAACAUUAUGUUGUCAAAAUCGAAGCUUUCAAACUCGAGAGGCGAAAUAAACUUGUUGAGCUUCUGUUGACUUGACUAGUAAAACUGAGAGUUUAUCGAUUUUAUUAGAGUUUACAUAAAACUCGUUAAAGUUUCCGAAAAAGAGAGUAUUCGUGCGGGUUAAUUUGUUUUUAAGACUCAUAAUUGUAAGACUGUAAGGGUUAGCCUGAGAGCUUAACAACCAUGGUCAGAAUCAUUUCAUCAAAAGUAAAGUUCAGAUGAUGAUGCUCAUAAUAACCAGAUGUUACCAUGUUCUUUUAUAUAUAUCAAAAGAAAAAUAAUAUUCAAAAUCAAGUGAUAUUUUUCUUUAGGUUAAACUAUAUUAUGUUUCACUACUAUGAAAAUGUAGUUAUGUCAUCAAUCAAAUAUAACUAAUAAUCUAUAUAUAAAUUCUUUUUAUCGUGUGUGGUGAUGCAAAUUUUCUUAUUUAGAAGUCUCUGCAAGGUAACUUUCACAAUUUCAAACAUCAUCAUAUAAAUAAAUAAUGAUACAAUAAAGAACAUAAAAAAAUAUAAAAUGCAUACAAAAGAACAAAAGUUAACCCUCUAAAAAAAAGUGAACUGUAAAAAAAGUUUCUAGUGCAAUUUUACCUCCAUUGAACCACAGUACUAAAGGUUUAGUGGAAGAGUUAUAUGGAGACUCCACAAAAUAAUAGAAAAGUUCUCUUCCAGCCUCAGGAUCAACUGUGACAUAGCCUGAAUAUUGGUCAAAAUUUACUCCAUAGGGUUGACCAGGCAAUGUGACGAUCUUGUCUGCUAGUCUUAGCUCCUCUUGAGGUGGUGCAACAUAAGCAGCAGAAAAAGAAUGUGUUUUCAAUGCAUCUCCCUCUUCCCAAGAAAGUGUCUUAGGAGGAUUCUGAGAUUUUCUAGACAGAAUAAACUCAUUGAGUUUAUCAGCUUGACUAGCUUUGCUAUAUGGAAAAAUAACCAAAAGACUGAUCAAAUUGAGUAAUAAACAAGCAUAAAGAGAAACCUUCUUCAUCUUGUUCUCAACUUGGUUUCAAUAUAUCAUAAGUUUCUAACUAUUUAUAGAUGAAAAACAUUGACAAUUUUGAAGGACUUAUUUGGUUGUUCUUGUUGGAGCCAUGUGAAAGAAACAAGAGAGAGAUAACAUCUACCAUUGAGGCAUUGACCAAUGUCCAUGCAUUGAUCAGCCGGCUAUGUUUAAUUUAGUUUCUUCUCCUUGAAUGUAAUGUAAGGGAUUGUCAUUGUUUCCCUUUUUCUAGAAUCAUAUCAAGUUAUUUAACGUUUUAGCACUUUGUGAUUAACUUUGAAAGUUAAUGGAUGUUUGUUUCCGUAAAUUAUUGUCCUGGUUUAUGUAGUACUAGUACUACAUUCUAGUUUAUGACAGCAUAUGUAAUUGGGUUACUUAGGGGUGGGCAUAUGCUUCUCUAGUUAGGCUUUUAGAUUAAGCUCUAUUUUGAAAUUUAACAUUACCUUUUGGAGAAUUCGAUUUUAUAUGACAUUUCGUCCUAUUUAAAUUUUAUUUUAUAAUAAUACACAGCUAUUUCAACAAUUAAUCCUUAAUUAUAUAAUCUGAUUGUUAGUAAGUUAUAUAAAAUCAAAGACUGACUUACUUUAUUUAGUAUUAACUUGUAUUGUUUAUGGUUUGUGAACUAUUGUUUCAAUUGUUUUGGUAUGUUGUCUGAGUACUAGGUCCAUUGUGGAUCUAGACUAUUGCAGGAAAGUCUGAUCACAGGGACAAAUAUCAUUAAUGAUCAUGGAAUGCUUAGAUUAUCUAAGAACAACAAUUAUGAGUAUCAGGCGAUUCACCAAGCGGGCAAAGAACGGGCAGGUAACAAGCCAAUUCAGAGAGUUGAGGAAAACAUGGUAAGUUGAUUCGCCAAGAGAGCCCAAAGCUAGGUCAAAUUGAGCCAAGUUAGAUUUGUCUUCGAUCAAUAUUUUUAAAACAUCAAAUUUUUAUUAAUGCAUAAUUAAAGAUAUUAAAGAUCGUGCAUAGACAUGUGUGCAACAAUAAACAAUGUCACUUAAUACACCCGUUAUUUCUCAGUUGCCAAAUGAACUGCAGCCCUCAUUCAAUCAAAACAUGCAUCCGUGAAAUUAAGUAGCGAAAAGGACCGAAGAUAGACCAACAGGGCAUCAGACGGUUACAAAACUUCUUAAUGUUUCUUUUCAAAUUACAAACAAAAGAGAAAAGAUAGAAAUAGAGGCAUAAGUUAAAAGGGAGAAAGAAGAAGGAACAACUUCGAGUGGUGUUUGUCCUUGAGGGCAACCAUAUUGCCAUUGGAGUGGACAUAGAGAUAGAUAUAGAAAACAAAAGGUAACAAAUGGGAAGUUGACAUAGUGAAAGCAAGAUGGUGCGACCAUGCCCAUGGUGGCGGUGGAAUCUAUGGGGGAAGAACCCAUGGUGACGGUAUAAUUAAAAUAUUGAAAGUAUAUAAUCGAUUUAGAGGAUACAUUAGAAAAUUAGCUAACGAAAUCUAAUCCCACCACAAAUUUUUAACAUGUUUAGUUUCAUCACUUCUAAUGCAUUCUUUUACAUUCUAACAACCUUUCUGUUGCGAAUUCGAUGAAAAAAUUACACCAAUAACAACUUGAUGUAUGGAACAAGGGAUAAUUAAUGAGUUGAUCCAGUUCGGUCUAAAUUGACCAGUCUGAGGGAGAGAGCAGCUCUCCGUUCCACUAUAUAAUGAGUAACGUUACAAAAGAGAAAUCAAUGGGUUACAAGAAUAAGUCUCCCUCCUAUUUCUACCCAAAUUCCCAGUCUCUUCUCGUAACCAAGAGACUCAAUUCUAAUAGUGUUUCGCAAGGUGAAUCAACCCUCAAACUCUAGUGUUUGUGUUUGUUCCAAAGAGACAAACUCUAUACAAACCCUAGUUUUGUUGUUGCCUUUCUAAACCCUUGUUUCAGCCCCCUCUAUCUCAAAAUUUGCUAUGAUACAAGGUCUAUAUUUAUAGUGAAAGUAAUCCCUUUAAAAACUAAAACAAAUCUUCAAUAAAAAUACGUUUUAUUUUUAUCUUCAAUCGCACCAUCGUGGCACUAUUCGAUCCAAUCGUGCUACGAUUUUUCCAGUGAUUACUCCAGAAUUUUGCUUCAACAAUCGUGGCACGAAGCUUCUCCAUCGUGGCACGAUUCUCCAUAAUUCUGAUUUUAAGUUAACUCUCACAAUUCUCCACCUUGACUUCAAAUCAGUGAUGAUGCCAAUCAUCAACCUUCUUGCUGCUCUUUCCCUUGCUUCCCACUACUCCAAGUAGCUCCACAAGUUUACACCUCUUAACCCAUUCAGCCCUCGGAAUGUCUUCCGCCUUCUCGAAAGUCCUUGCAGUCCAACUACACUAGGAGUUUUAGGUAGUCCCACAAGCAUUCACCUUAACCUCUUCAACCAUCAGAACGUCUUCCGUCUUCUCGAAGAGUCCUUGCAGUCCAACUACACUAGAAGUUUUAGGUAGUCCCACACGCAUUCACCAUAACAUCUUCAAUGCAGGACAUCUCCCACUUCCUUGAAGAUCACCUUGCAUCCAAUCACCCUUGGCCUUCUUUUAGAGUAAUCCCGCAAGUCGUGCUAUACAUUCUUCAACCUCCGGAAUGCCUUCCGUCUUCAUGAAGAAAUCCCUUGCUCAAGUGACCCAUCUUGUGACAGUUAAAGCAUUCAGACUUUGACUUGUUACCACUCUUUCCCCGGUUACCUCUACCUCCACGCAAGGGAUAAUCAGACAACCAAAAUCAAAGUGUAUGGAACAAUUAAAUAGAAGCCAAAAGUAGAAAAACAACGGCGAGAAGAACACAAAAGAAUUUGUUGACCCAGUUCGGUCCAAAUUGACCUAGUCUGGGGGAGAGAGCAGCCCUCCGUUCCACUAUAUCACUAAAUCGUUAAGGACUUUGUUUUUCAUUUGCAUUUGUUUUCAGACUUAGACCAUGAAAGGUUGGAAUGAGAUUUUAGGGUUGAUAUCAAUUAUAAUCUCGUGUUGGAGCGAGAAGUUGUGAAUUAAAGAUCAUUCCUUUAGAUAUUUGAAGUUGAUUAAUAAUCGGGUGUUGGAUAAGAGACAUAAAUAAGUCCUUAUAAUUGAAACUAAGUUGAUAACUUUAUUAUGAGUUUGAGAUUUCUACUUUGAUCAUACAAGCAUAUACAUUAUAAGUUCCUUAUAAUUGAAACUAAGUUGAUAACUUUAUUAUGAGUUUGAGAUUUCUACUUUGAUCAUACAAGCAUAUACAUUAUAAGUUUGUGGUUUGGCCUUGCAAAAUAGAACUAAAGUGAAGUGAAAAAGUUGGAUUUUUCUAGAGAGAUAAUAAAGUUGUAAGUAAAUGGUGGGAGUAGCUUAUGAAAUUACAUUAUUAGAAGUCUAUUUGUCUUUCAAGUUUCCUACCAUAUCAAAUGAUUGAGAUCUCUUAUCAACUAAUUUGAUUUAUCAAAAAGCAAGACAUGAAACACUCUCACAACAAUAGACUAAGGGAGAGCCUGUAGACCAUACACAUAACAAAGUUAUAUGGCCACAUUCUAUUACAAUCUAACUAAUAGAUUACGCACAAAGUGCAUUUCUAGGAAGUAAAUUUGAAACAUGGAUCAUGCUGAAAACCCAUUAAUUCGACGGUGAACCAGAAGGCAGGAUUCCAUAGAGGAAUGAUGAGAUCAAAGUCAAAGCACGUUCAGGUUGCCAGCUUGGAACAAGAUGUCCUGCUCCUCUCACUGUAACAAAUGUCAAUCCUUUGUAUCCCACAACAUACCCUCCAAUCUGUCAUUAUUGUUUCAAAAAUGUUAUUACUUGGUAUAGAAGAAAAGUCAAUAAGUCGACCAUAUCUCAAGUAAAUUAUAAUUUUUUAACUCGACAUCAUAAGUGUUGAGAGUCCCUCAAAUUUACAAAAUAACAAAUUAGCCCUAAAAGUAUAGAAUGCAAAUCAAAUUAGUUUCUCACUCAAAAUAUAAAUCGACUAAUUUCAGUACCUCUUUUCCAGAAUACCACGGACGCCAAGCAGAGUUGAUUGGAAGUUUAAGGGUGUUGAUUAAAUAUCUUGAAGAUGUGGUUGGAACCACUACAUCUGUAUCACCACUGUAAGAAGAAUACACCAUCAAAAUUCAGGAGGGUGAAUUUUUAUAAAACAAAAUUUGCAAUCUCUUAUUAUUCAUAACAAGAGACUUCAUGUUAUAUAUUAUUGUUCAUGUAGAUUCAAAUUGUCAUUAGUUUUAAACAAUUUAUAUUAAAAUGAAAGUGAGCUUACCUGUAUAUCCAUAAUUUAAUGCCGCUAUCAAUGAGAUACUUGACGGUGGGUAGGACGGUAGCUGGACUGUCUUUCCAGGUAGUAAGAAGAUGACUAUGAAUUGUCAUUGAAAACAACACAUUCUUGAUUAGCAUAGAAAAAUACAAGUAUAUAAGUGUCAAAACAAAGAGUACUAUUUUACAAUUUCUUAAAAGUGAUUAUAGAAUAUUACGUGCAAUGGGUCCAAUUUGUAGGUUUUGCAUGAAGAGCCUUUUGAACUUCUGGUCUAUUUAGAUAGGCAGUAACAUAGUAAUCAGAACAAGGGUCAAAAUCAUUGCUUACGUAACCAGUACUAGAACCAUUUUUCAGAGAAGAGUCAUGACACAAUGGCGCAUGGAUGUUAUAGAUGUCUAUCUUUCCUGUCUCAACGAAGGCCUUAUCAGUUGCAUUGUUACAAAUUGCUGAAACAUUUUCUUUAGUGAAGUCACAGUACUUCUCAAUCAACUCAUGAGUUUGAUCUGAGUUUAAAGCAUGAGUCCACAAGUUAUCAUAUAUCCCCUUUAAAUUCGUCGCAUCAUCAAUCCAAGCAUUCCCUAUCUGAAAUUUUUUUAAGUAUAGAUAAUAAUGAGAUUAGAAUUAUGAGAUUGCGAGUUAUAUUUCAUUAUUAGUCAUUCGAAGUUUGAACAACAUACAGAAAUGCCUUUGAGGUUAAUAAUGGUGUUGUUAUAGAGUUUAUUGUUGUAAAGAAUAGUGGAUGCAAGUUGAGGAACAUAAUGACCGGCAUAACUCUCUCCAGUUAUGUAAAAAUCUCUGGUUUUGUACUGUGGAAAUCUCUCCAGCCAGUUGAUUAGGAAGACAUAGGCAUCUUUAGCAGUGGACUUAUCUCCUGAAUUGUCAUAGUCCGAUGAUGUGUUUGAGUAGGAAAAUCCUACCCCUGCUGGAGAUUCCAAGAAGAGUACAUUUGCCACUGCAUAUUUCAUAAGGAGUUAAGUUUCUAAGAUAAUCAUGUCUCAGAAAUGCAUCAUAAAUAACACAUUAGUUAUAUCGAUGAUCAUCUCACCUUCAUUCCAAGCAUAUGGGUUACGGUAUAAUGUUUUGCCAUCAGAGUUGACUCUGAAGGGUCCGAGCUCCUCAAAGGCUCCAUAUCCCAGUGAGGAACAACCAGGUCCUGUGAGUUUCAAACAUUAUGAUGUCAAAAUUGAAGCUGACAAACUUGAGAGUCUAAGUAAACUUGUUGAGCUUCUGUAGACUCGACUAGUAAAAGUCAGAGUUUCCAAUUUUAUUAUUUUACUUAAACUCGUAAAAGUUUACAAAACAGUGAGUGCGUAUGCGAGUUAAUUUUUUUUAUGAAUCAUAAUUGUAAGAAGGUAUGGGUUAGCCCGAAAGUUUAACAACGAUGGUCAUAAUCAUAUUAUCAAGAGUAAAGUUCAAAUGAUGUCAAUGAACAGGUUUUUGCAUGUGAUUUUAUAAAUCAAAAGAAAAAUAAAGUUCAAUAUCAAGUGAUAUUUGUUCUUAGGUAAAACUAUACUAUCAUGUUUCACUACUAUGAAAAUGAACUUAUGUCAUCAAUCAAGUAUAAUUAAUAAUCUAUUUAUAAACAAAUAUUAAAUAGACAAUGACACAUUAAAGAACAUAAAAAAAUAGAAAAUGCAUACAAAAGAACAAAAGUUAACUGUAGAAAACAGUUUCUGAUGCAUUUUUUUUACCUCCAUUAAGCCACAAUAUUAAGGGUUUAGUAUAAGAGUUAUGUGGAGAUUCCACAAAAUAAUAGAAAAGUUCUCUUCCAGCCUCAGGAUCAACUGUGACAUAGCCUGAAUAUUGGUCAAAAUUCACUCCAUAGGGUUGACCAGGCAAUGUGACGAUCUUGUCAGCUAGUCUUAGCUCCUCUUGAGGUGGUGCAACAUAAGCAGCAGAAAAAGAAUGUGUUUUCAAUGCAUCUCCCUCUUCCCAAGAAAGUGUCUUGGGAGGAUUCUGAGAUUUUCUAGACAGAAUAAACUCAUUGAGUUUAUCAGCUUGACUAGCUUUGCUAUAUGGAAAAAUAACCAAAAGGCUCAAGUUGAGUAAUAAACAAGCAUAAAGAGAAACCUUCUUCAUCUUGUUCUCAACUUGGUUUCAACAUAUCAUAAGUUUCUAACAAUUUAUAGAUGAAAAAGUGACAAUUUUGGAGGACUUAUUUGGUUGUGCUUAUUGGAGUCAUGUGAAUGAAACAAGUGUUAACAGUACAAUUGACCAAUGACUAUGCAAUAUUGAUCAGCCGGCUGAAUGUAAGUGAUUUUCCUUGUUUCCCUUUUUCUAGAAUCAUGGUAUCAAGGUAUUUAAUAAUUUAGAACUUUGUGAUUAACUUUGAAAGUUAAUGAUAUAUUUGUUCCUCUAACUUAUUGUUGUGGUUUAUGCAGUGUCUUCAUUCUAGUUUCUAAGAGCAUCUGUAAUUGGGUUACUGGGAAUAUGCUCAUGCUUGCUCGUGCCAGGUUCUAUAUGUUAUAUCUUAAUUAAAUAAGUAAUUUUCUCUAUAUAACAAGCAGGCGGCCACAAUGAGAUUAAACUCUAUCUAGGUUAGUGUAAAUUCAGUUUACUUACCUUCAAUCUAGGUUAAUGUAAAUUAAGUUUACUUAUGUUCAAUCUAGGUUAAUGUAAAUUCAGUUUACUUACGUUCAAUAUAGGUUAAUAUAAAUUAAGUUUGUAAAUUCAGUUUACUUACGUUCAAUCUAGGUUAAUGUAAAUUAAGUUUGUAAAUUCAGUUUACUUACGUUCAAUCUAGAUUAAUGUAAAUUAAGUUUACUUAUGUUCAAUUUAGGUUAAUGUAAAUUAAGUUUACUUAUGUUCAAUUUACAUUAAUGUAAAUUUAGUUGAUUUGAAAUUUUUAUUUUAAUUAAAGGGUAUAUUGAUCAUUCUGGAGUGUAAUUUUUUUUUUUUUUUUGGGUAUAACUAGCACCGGUCAACAAAUAAUAGAGAUUGUUCUCACGAGGAUUGUUUAUGUUUAAUACUCAUGACUCAUAAGUCACUGGAAUAAGAACCAUGCGUUCUGAGGUCACAAACUAUUUUUGUGUUUUUAUGUUGUCACACUUUUAUUUUGGAAAGAUUACAUGGUCAUUUAUAAUUUUUUUUUUUUACAUUUGCACCGGUUUUCGAUCCAUCAAAGAUGGACGACUAAUUCGACUCGUGCUUAGAGGCAUGCGCACUGGCCAAACGUUGUUCCCCCUAUGAAUCGAACCUGGUAUUCUCCAGGUACGUCCUUGGAAUGAGCUCAUUGCCACUAGAGCCCAAACAACUUGGUCAUUUAUAAAAUUUAAAUAAACAGAAUCAUAAACAUUUUGGGUCUUGGUGAUGAUUGUUCGCCGAACAGAUUUCAAAUUAAUAAAUUAUUCUUUAAAAGAGUCAAAUACUUCAAUUUUACAAUAAAUUGAACAUACAAAUUUUUAUAAAAAUUUACCAUCUAAGAUAUUUAAAGAUUACCCUAGGAACACUCAUUAACAUUUUCCAUACAUUUUUUUCUCAUAGAAUUCUUACGGAGUGAAGACCCAUCUAACAAUAUGCGUCAGGGUCAAAUUAGUCCUCCACAAAUUUAAACACUCUAUUUUAUUUUUGGCAGGUAUCGAAGACUGUUUUGGCCGAGAAAGAUGACCCGAAAGAAAAAAAAAGUAUCAAUUUGGUUCCUCAAAAUUUUGUCCCUUGUUUUUGUAAACAAUACACAUGACAGACAGUAAGAUAACUUAAUUGUCACAUAUUCCCAGUCAUAGUUCAAAAAUAAAAAGAAAAAAAAAAAUGAUUGAAGAAAAAUAUUGACGGAAGAACUAAAUUGUCUUGAUUUAGUUUUGUAAAGUGAUAAAUAGGGUCAUUUUUUUUGUACCAAAAAAAAUAAAAUAAAAUUUGACCCGUGUAUAUUUUGUUAGGGAGCAAAAUGGGUCUUCAAUCAAUUCUUACGUGUCUAAGCUAAGAUAAAUUUGUCAAUGACAUAUACUUCUUGUUCAUGUCCAAGAGUAUAUAUAAUGUUCAAGUGUUGAUGAAAUCUUGUCAAAAAAAAAUAAAAAAAUUGUUGGAUGAAAGGAAACUUUUGAAUAUUUAUCUAUUAUUAUAAUGGGCCAGUUUGUUUUAGAUUAUAAAAAAAAAAAAAAAAAAAAAAAAAAAAAAAAAAGAUUUUUCUUUGUAUUUUUAAAAAUAGAUUUUUUUGAAAAUUUAGUCAAAAAUAGUAGAAGUUAUUUUAAACUCAUUUGAUAUAAGUUAAAAAAGAGAUUUUGACAUUCACUAACUUAAAUAUUCAUUGUUCGAGAUUUUACACAGUAAAAAUUACAUAUUUUUUCAAAAUGACAUUUUUCAAAAAUGAUUUUUAUGAAAAGUUAUUUGAAAUAAUUUAUUUUUUUUUAGAGAUUUUUGCAAAAUUUAGUAUAAAAAAAAAAAUUAUAACAAAAAAUGAUGAAAUACUUAGAAUGAUAUUUUAAGAUAAGUUAUUUAAACAGAUUUUUUAUUUGAAGCUUUCCUUAAAAAUUUCUUUAUUAAAAAAAUUAUAACAAAAACAUAUUACACUACAAAAAUCCAUUUUAAGAAAAGCUAUAACAAAGGGCUCAAUAUACUUUAUUAAAUCAUAGCCCCAAAUUCUCUGAUUGACACAUCAUAUAUGUCUAAUGCAAAAAUACAUAGCAUAUCAUAUUUUUACAACAAUAUAGCUGUCUUAAUCUCUUCUGUUGUAAUAGUUGCUCAGGUAUGACCCCGAUGCUCUUGUCAAUUCUGCAAGUGAUCAAAUCCUUUACAUAUUUUGUAAAAAAAAAAAAAAAAAAUCCUUUAUGUUGUGAAUUCCGGUAAAAACCACACCAAUGAAAAACAAAGAUAUGUGGAGCAAAGCAGGUGGUAAUCAAUGUGUAAAAUGUCUCCAAGUAACAACAACAAAAACAGACCUAGAUCUAAGUGUAGAGCAACACCACAAGCAUAAUCAAAACACAAAGAUGAGCAAUGAAAGAAAAGAACAAACACACCAAAAGAUUGUUGACCUAGUUCGGUCCAAUAUGACCUAAUUUGGGAGGGGCAGUUCUCCAAUCCACUAUGAUGAAAGUGUUACAAAGAGUUACAAGAAAUUAGUUUAUAAGCUUACACUAGAACAAAACCUAAUUUCUACCCAUUUGUGUCACCCACUCUCACAAUAUGAAUCCUAAGAGAAAACACAAAAGGAAGCUUUUGAUCCUUCCAAUGGUGAAAUCUCACUACCCAAGGUGUUUACAAUGUUUCCCAACCCAAAAGAUCCUCACUACAAAGACAUUCAACCCUAAAGUUACAUCUCCUUUGUAAUCCAAGUUUCUCUCACUUUAAGCUCACCUUCAAAAACUGCACAAGAACACUUAUAUAGCAGUCUUCAGCUGUCAAAAUCGUGUCACGUUUUCCAAAACGUGGCCAAAACGUGGCACGAUUGGUGCGUACAUCUCAAUGUACGACCAACCUUAUCCUGAAAACGUACCCAACAAGUUUGAAAAUCGUGUCACGUUUUCUCAAACUCGUGACACGAUUGAGCACCCUGCAAACCAUGCUCACUGCCUGGGAAAUCGUGACACGUUGAUGAAAUCGUGUCACGAUUUCUCUGUUCUUCCAAACCCAAAUUUGAAGCCAAUAUACAAUACUUUACAUAUAAGGACGGUUACUAUUGUAUCUGAAUUCUGAAAGAAGUACUUACUCCAGCUUUCUACUUAAAACAAUAUUGAAGUGAUCAAAUCCUUUACAUCUUUAUUUCUUCUGUUACUAGUUGGUGUUCUAGCAAUACACUCUCACAACAAGUGAGGGAGAGCCUAUAAUAUUGCCAUACACAAACCCAAGUAAUAUGGCCAUAGCACAGAGUGCAUUUCAAGAUUUGAUAUGUAACAACAAUCUUUAGUUGAAAGUUCAAACUGAAUUUUGUUUAUUACAAUCUAACUAGUAGAUUUUGCACAAAGUGCAUUUCAAGGAAGUAAAUCUGAAAAGUGAAUCAUGCUUAGAAACAAUUAGUUUGAUGGUGAAACAGAAGCAGGCAGGCUUCCAUAGAGGAAUGAUGAGAUCAAAGUCAAAGCACGUUCGGGUUGCCAGCUUGGAACAAGAUGUCCUGCUCCUCUUACUGUAACAAAUGUUAAUCCUUUGUAUCCCACCACAUACCCUCCAAUCUGUCAUUAUAAUAAUUUGAUUACGUUUCAAAAAUGUUAUUACUUGGUCUACAAGAAAAGUCAAUAACCCAACCAUAUAUCGAGUAUUAGCAUUUUAGAACUCAAAUUUGUAAAAGUCGAACAAUUUAGUUCCUCCAAUUAAUGAAAUAACAAAUUAAUCCCUUAAAAUAAUGAGUGUCAAUCAAUUUAGUUCUGUAGACUCAUUUCAGUACCUCUUUUCCAGAAUACCAUGGAUGCCAAGCAUCGUUGAUUGGGAGCUUUAGGGUGUUGAUUGAAUAUCUUGAAGAUGUAACUGGAACUCUUCCAUCAGUAUCACCACUGUAGGAGACCACAUUAUCAAAUUUAGGAGUUGGAAUUUUAAUUUUGAUAAAAUAAAAUUGUAACCUCUCAUUAUUCACACAAGAGUCUACAUGUUAUAUUAUUGUUCUUGUGCUUUCAAAUUGUCAUAGUAAUGUUAAUUAAGACUUUAAUAUAAUGAAAUUGAGCUUGCCUGUAUAUCCAUAAUUUAAUGCCACUGUCGAUGAGAUACUUGAUGGUAGGUAGGACGGUAAUUGGACUGUCUUUCCAUUUAGAAUUAAUUUCACUAUGAAUUGUCAUAAAAAAAUCACAUUCUUGAUUAGCAUAGAAAAGCACAGUUAUUUAAGUGUGAAAACAAAGAGUUUAUUUUGCAAUUUUUUAAAAGUGAUUAUAGAUUUUUUACCUGCAAUAGCUCCAAUUUGUAGGUUUUGCAUGAAGAGCCUGUUGAACCUCUGGUCUAUUUAAAUAGGCAAUGCCAUAGUAAUCAGAACAAGGGUCAAAAUCAUUACUUACAUAACCAGUUGAACCAUUUUUCAAAGAAGAGUCGUGACACAAUGGAGCGUAGAUGUUAUAGAAAUCUAUCUUUCCUUUCUCAGUGUAAGCCCUAUCUGUUACAUUGUUGCAUAUUGCUGAAGUAUUUCCACUAGUGAAGUCAACAGUGAAGUCACAGUACUUCUCAAUCAACUCAUGAGUUUGAUCUGAAUUCAAAGCAUGAGUCCAAAAGUAAUCAAAUAACCCCUUCAAACUUGUGGCAUCAUCAAUCCAAGCAUUCCCUAUCUGAAAUUUUUUAAAGUAAAGAUAAUAAUAAAGUUAGAUUUAUGAGAUUGUGAGUUACAUUUCAUACUUGGUCUUUUGAAGUUUGAAGAACAUACAGAAAUGCCUUUGAGGUUAAUAACAGUGUUGUUAUAGAGUUUAUUGUUGUGAAGAAUAGUCGAUGCAAGUUGAGGAACAUAAUGACCAGCAUAACUCUCUCCAGCUAUGUAAAAAGCUCUUGUUUUGUACUGUGGAAAUCUCUCCAGCCAGUUGAUUAGGAAGACGUAAGAAUCCUUGGCAGUUGAUUUAUCUCCUGACUUGUCAUAGUCAGAAGUUGUGUUUGAAUAGGAAAAUCCCACUCCUGCUGGAGACUCUAAGAAUAGUACAUUUGCAACUGCAUAUUUCAUAAUGAUAAACUGGUAAGUUAUUCAUGUCUAAGAAUAAAUGCAUCAUAAGAAACAAUUUCAUUCUAUCGAUGAUUGUUUCACCUUCAGUCCAAGCAUAUUGGUUACGGUAUAGUGUUUUGCCAUCAGAGUUGAUUCUGAAGGGUCCUAGCUCCUGAAAGGCUCCAUACCCCAGUGAGGAACAGCCAGGUCCUGUAAGUUUCAAACAUUAUGUUGUCAGAAUCAAAGCUGUCAAACUCGAGAGUUAGGUAAAUUUGUUUAUCUUUGGUCGACUCAACUCUUUAACUUGCUAUAGUAAAAUCAAAUGUUUAUCUAGAUUUAAUUAGAGUUUACCGGAACUCAUAAGAGUUCACUAUAAAAGGAGUAUUCAUGUGAGGUAGUUCGUUUUUAUGACUCAUAAUUGUAAAUUCGUAAAAGAUUUCUCGAGGUUUUUCUAACCAUGAUCAAAAUCAUUUCAUCAAGAGGUAAGUUUAGAUCAUGAUGCUCAAAAUAAAUUAAUAACCAGGUUUCACUAUGUUCUUUCAUUUUCAAUAUAAAAAUAAUAUUUUGUUCUUAUGUAAAAAUGUGCUACCCUACCAUGUUUGACUACUAUGAAAAUCAAGUUAUGUCAUCAAUCAAAAUAUUAACUAAUAAUAUAUCAUUCCUUUCUUUAUUUUGAUAGAAAUAAUAUAUCAUUUCUUCUGAUGUCAUGUUGUGUUUUCAAGGAUAAUAAUGUAAAUAUAAAAAAUAAAUGAAAUCACAUAACAUAAAAGUUAUAAAAUGCAUACAAAAUAACAAAAGUUAUCAGCAUAAAAAAGUUUGAGGCAAUUUAUACCUCCAUUGAGCCACAAAACUAAAGGUUUAGUGGAAGAGUUAUAUGGAGACUCCACAAAAUAAUAGAAAAGCUCUCUUCCAGCCUCAGGAUUAACAGUGACAUAGCCUGAAUAUUGGUCAAAAUUCACUCCAUAUGGUUGACCAGGCAAUGUGUCAAUCUUGUCAGCUUGCCUUAGCCCCUCUUGAGGCGUAACAUAAGGAGCAGAAGAAUCUGUUUUAGAUGCAUCUUCCUCUUCCCAAGAAAGAGUCUUAGGAGGAUUCUGUGAGGUUCUAGAAAGAAUAAACUCAUCAAGUUUAUCAGUUUGACUAGCUUUGCUAUAUGGAAAAAUAACCAAAAAACUCACGCUGAGUAGUAAACAAGCAUAAAGAGAAACCUUCUUCAUCUUAUUCUCAACUUGGUUUCCAUAUAUCUUAGUUUCUAUCUAUUUAUAGAUACAAAACAGUGAAAGUAUUUUAGGGCUUGUUUUGUUGUGGUUGGAGGCAUGUGAAAGAAACAAGAGAACGAUGACAUUAGUAUUGACCAGGCAAUGAUCAGCCGGCUGAUUUAAUAUAGUUUCUCCUUGAAUGUAAUGGAUUGUCCUUGUUUCCCUUUUUCUAGACACAUAUCAAGUUAUUUAACAAUUUAGCACUUUGUGAUUAACUUUUAAACUUAAUGAUAAAUAUAUUUUGUCCUCUAACUUAUUGUUGCCGUUUAUGCACUUGUACUGUAUCUUCAUCACAGUUUAUGAGAGUAUCCUCAUGGCCACAAACCUAGAGCAUAUUCACUAACUUACAAUGAUUUGCAUUUAAAACAAACUUAAGAUUAUGAUAGGUAACCCGGUAUCAUGGGGUCCUAAUGUCACGUCGAGUAUUAUGAGAUAUUCCAUGCAAAACUUUUGAUAGAAAUACUUAGUUGGACACGAAUGAAAAAAUGUCAUGCGAUUCGACCCUAAAUUUAAAAUAUUUAGUCACACACAAAUGUUUUUUUUUAAAAGAAAAGUAAUUUAGUUACAUCACUUAGUAUCUGUUUGGUUGAGCGUUUGUGCUCUCAAAGUGGGUUGGUUUUUUCCAGUGGUGUUUGGAUAAAAUCAAAAGCGAUUGUGAAAAAGCAAUUUCACAUCCAAAAUAUGGGUUAACUGGAAGCCACAAAUUUUAGCUUCUGCGGCAACUAAAAGCAAUUCUGGAGUUUGCUUUUUGUUAAGAAAUAUAUUUUCCAUAAAUACCCAUGAUUCAACACAAUCUCCUUUUUUUUUUUUCUUUUUCUCAAACUCCAAUGUUUAUUCUAUGCAACACUUUCUUAUUUUUUCAGAUCUAGUGAAAAAUCUCCUUAUUUUUCUAGAUUUGGUGAAAAACAAAAGUGGGGAGGAAGAAUGAGGAAAUACCCAAAUCUCUAUUGAAGCUUCAACAGAGAAUAUAAAUGUAAAAAUCAAAAAUUUGGGAAAUUAGAAACAGAAAAAGGGAAGAAAGGAUGAUGCCAUCCAUGAAACUAAACAUCUUCAUAGAGCAACAUGAAAUGCGUAGUAUAUUACACACAGAGAGAGUCUGGAGUCUUCUUCAUAAAUGACUUCAAUUACCCAUCAUUAUAUUUGUUAUUUAUUAAUUAAAGGAGAAGUUCUAGAGAAUUCUUAUUUGUUUUUUGAAGAUGAUUUUUUGAAAAUGGUUUUAAUUAAUUAAUUAAUAAGAAAAUAAUAAUAAGAUGAACCGAGAGAUAAGUACUAUUAAUAAUGAUUAAUGAAGCAAUAAAAAUCUAAAUAUGAUAACUUGAAAUAAUUAUAUAAAAUGAGAUAUUUAAUUUUAAAUACAAUUAAAAUGAUAUUUUGGUCAUUACACAUUCAAAAUCAAUUUUGAUUUAAACCAUCCAAACAUUAUCAACUCAUAAGAAUGACUUAUACAUUAGUGUAUCCAAGCAUAAAUCAAUUCAUAUCAAACUCACUUUUAAUAAAAAUCAAUUCUCUCAAACUCAAUUCUAUCAAAAUCAAUUCUCACCACCGAUAUACCAAACUCUCAAACUCAAUUCUAUCAAAAUCAAUUCUCACCACCAGUAUACCAAACACAGACUUACUUAUUCCAAGAAUGAGUUACUCAACUUUUAAUUAAUAAGUCCAGAGUCUAAAUACUCUUUUCCGAAAUAACCAUUGAUAUAGCAUAUAAAAAUAGAGUAAUGCAGGAUGUUCCCCGAUUAGUUUCGGUAUAGUUUUUCUUUUUUAGACUUAUAGCCCUCUUUAUAAUAAACAAAUAUAGCAAUGUUAUAUCAAUUAAACGAAUUCCUUAGUAUUGAAAUUUCAUGAACCAUGUUUUGUGAUCGUAGUUUGAAUUCUUUAAUCUUGAAAUUUCACGAACCAUGUGGCAAAACUGCUUUGGUAAUUUGAUUCCAAAUUUCACGAAAUAUAGCUUGAUAAGAGUAUUUUUUAUUUUUUUUUGUCAAGAAUAACCAAUAAGAGUUAAUCGUGAUGGAUUCGUGAAAUUAUCUUUCGAUGCAUCUAGCAUUUUCCAUAAAUAUAUUCCAAGAGACAUGUUGGCUAGAUGGCGCAUUUUGUUUUUCAUUUUAAUUGUAAAACACUUGCUUGUAUUCAAUUAGAUAAGAUAUAAGUUCACCACCAACGAAGAUAAAGUACAAGUAGUACUCAAGAAACCAAAACAAACUCAUCUACCUCUACAUUCUAAAAGAUUAGAAAACCAUUCAUAAAACAAAACAUAAGUAACCCAAUUUUCUCUCCAAAAAUAUUCUCUCUCAUUCCUGCCCAUCCAAAGUCAUAUGCCAAAUUAGCAAUAAUCGUUUUGGCAACUUUUCUUUCUUGGAAUAGAAGCAAAAGCUUUCUAAUAAGACAAAGAGGUUUUCCGUAGCGAAGGUUGAAAAGCUCUCUCCGACAUCCCCAUGUGUUUGGCCCAAUUGUUGUUGUUGGGCGCAACUUGGGGGUGCCGGGGGCAAUAACCUCAUGGUACGAUUCACAGGUAUCAUUGUAAACUGAACCGUAGUAUUAUAUAUAUUGGUUGUAACAUAAAACCCAAAUUCAUACAGAAAUUAACUGUCUUUAUAGUCGAAGAGGUAGACAUCAUUGAUUGCAUGAACAAAGAUCUUGUCUCAUUUUUUAAAAGAAUUUAUUUGAAUUAUUCCAGAUUACUAGAGCACUUCCCCCAAAACCGGAGUAUGGCAUCUAAAAACACACAUCCCCAAGAGUAAUUGAUAAAAAAGACGGAGUAUGGUCCGCAACUGAACUCCUUCAACCAAACUUGCAUCUUUCAUUCAUCAAGAAACCAACCUUACAUCCCUCACGCUUCAUUCUUCAGAAGUUUGUGCAGAAUAGUUUUAGUCAAUAUAUAUUCUAAAUUAGGUGACAUGGUUUUGGCUAGAAAUGUGUUUGAUUCCAUGGUUGAUAAAGAUUUAGUGUGUUGGAACUCUUUUGAUUGAUGGGUAUGCUUGAAUUAGCGUUGAAGAUGUUUGAUGAAAUGCCUAGUAGGGAUGACUGGAAAUUGGCUAAUAGUGUCGAUCCGAGGCAUACUGUACACGUAUUGGGCAGGAGUGGCAGCUUAUCAGGACAAGAGCUAUAGGGAAGUGAGAAUGCACAAGAUGCAUCUAGAGAGGGAAGAUAUAAAUGCAAUCUUGAUGCUUUGUUUUCACAACAACGAAACCGUGUUUAUUUUGGUUUGUACCAGAGAUAACGAGGGUCGUUUUGUGCUUGCCAAAAUAUCGUGGUCCUCACCUAUAUGUAAUGUGGAUGUAGUAGAAAGCAUUGAUUUGAGAUUUUUAUAUGCUAUUACAUGGGGUUCACCAGCUGCAGUUAGGAAUUGAUUUUGCUGUAUUCGAAAAAAGGUAGUAAAUUAUUUUAUAAGGUAGAAAUGAUGUUAUAGAGUUUGUUGAUGUGUUGAAUGAAUGUUAGCAUGUGUUUAGUUUGUAUUUUAAAAACUCUUGUUGAACUUAGUAGGAAAACAGUGGUAGUUAUAAUCUAGUUAUAAAUAAACUCAAAUGCACAUAUGAAAAAACGAUAUAAACUACUGAAGAAACGAUGUAAACGCAGAUAGAUUGGUGGUUACAAAACAAUUUUACUUUGAUAAUACUAGCUUAUAUGCUAUAAGUUAUCGGUUGGCCUUGCCAAACAGAAUAUAAGAGAAGUGGAAAAACUAAAUUUCUUACAAAUUUCCCUUGAGAAAUAUAAAGAUGUAAUAAGUAUAUGGUGGCAGUAACUUAUGGGAACCAUAGCAAACAAUUGAGCUUUCUUAUCAGCCAAUUUGGUUCAUCAUAAGUGUGACAUCACAAAUCAAGACACGAAACACUAGUAGAUUUUAAUCAGUUGAUAUGUAACAAAAAUUGUAGUUGAAAGUUCAAACUAAAUUUUGUUAUUACAAUCUAACUUGUCGAUUUUGCAUAGUGCAUUUCAAGGAAGUAAAAUUGAAACAUGGAGCAUGCUUAGAAGUUAGAACCCAUUAUUUUGAUGGUGAAGUAGGAAGCAGACUUCCAUAGAGGAAUGAUGAUAUCAUUGUCAAUGCCCUUUCUGGCUGCCAGCUUGGAACAAGAUGUCCUGCUCCUCUUACUGUCACAAAUGUCAAUCCUUUGUAUCCCACCACAUAUCCUCCAAUCUGUCAUUAUUAAAAUUUGGGCACGUUUGAAAAAUCUUAUUACUUGCUCAAGAAGAAAGUCAGUAACUCAGCCAUAUAUUGAAUAAAUUAGCAUUUCUGUACUCUAGGUUGUAAGUAACGAACAGUUUAGUCCUUCAAAUUUAUGGAAUAACAAACUAAUCCCUUUAAUUAAAGAAUAUCAAUUAAUUUAGUCUCUUCCUCAAAAUCUAAAUAGACAGAUUUCAGUACCUCUUUUCCAGAAUACCAUGGACGCCAGGAAGCGUUGAUAGGAAGCUUAAGGGUGUUGAUUGCAUAUCUUGAAGUUGUGACUGGAACCCUUGCAUCUGUAUCACCACUGUAGGAAAACACAUCAUCUAAAUUUAGCAAUUAGAAUUUUAAUAAAACAAAUUUGCAACCUCUCAUUGUUCAAAAGAGUCUACAUGUUAUAUUAUUGUUCUUGUGAAUUCAAAUUGUCAUAACACUGUUAACACUUUAUACAAUAAUGAAAUUGAACUUGCCUGUAUAUCCAUAAUUUAAUGUUGCUUUCAAUGAGAUACUUGAUGGUGGGUAGGAUGGUAAUUGGACUGUCAUUCCAGUGAGUAAUAAGAUCACUACAAUUGUCAUAAAAAAUAACACAUUAAUGAUUAGAAUAGAAAAUACAAUUAUAGAGAUGUCAAAGAAAUAGUACUAUUUGGCAAUUUCUUAAAAAUGAUUAUAGAAUAUUACCCGCAAUGGCUCCAAUUUGUAGGUUUUGCAUGAAGAGCCUUUUGAACCUCUGGUCUAUUUAGAUAGGCAAUACCAUAGUUAUCAGAACAAGGGUCAAAAUCAUUAGUUACAUAACCAGUUGAACCAUUUUUCAGAGAAGAGUCAUGACACAAUGGCGCAUAGAUGUUAUAGAAGUCUAUCUUUCCUUUCUCAAUGAAGGCCCAAUCUGUUACAUUGAUACAAAUUGUUGAAUAAUUUUGUUUAGUGAAGUCACAGUACUUCUCAAUCAACUCAUGAGUUUGAUCUGAGUUCAAAGCAUGAGUCCAGAAGUAAUCAAAUAACCCCUUGUCACCUGUAGCAUCAUCAAUCCAAGCAUUCCCUAUCUGAAAAAUUUGAAGUACAAAUAAUCAUGAAGUUAGUUAUAUGUGAUAGUGAGUUAUAUUGCAUUAUUAGUCUUUUGAAGAUUGAUCAACAUACAGAUAUGCCUUUGAGGUUAAUGAUGGUUUUGUUAUAGAGUUUAUGGUGGUGAAGAAUAGUGGAUGCAAGUUGAGGAACAUAAUGACCAGCAUAACUCUCUCCAGUUAUGUAAAAAUCUCUGGUUUUGUACUGUGGAAAUCUCUCCAGCCAGUUGAUUAGGAAAACAUAGGCAUCUUUAGCAGUGGACUUAUCUCCUGCUUUUUUAUAGUCAGAAGUUGUGUUUGAGUAGGAAAAUCCCACUCCUGCUGGAGACUCUAAGAAGAGUAUAUUUGCAACUGCAUAUAUUUUAUAAUGAUAAAUUGGUUAGAUGUUCAUGUCUCUUAAAUGCAUAAUGGAGAAAACAUUUAAUCAUAUCGAUUAUGAUUGUCAUACCUUCACUCCAAGCAUAUUGGUUACGGUAUAAUGUUUUUCCAUCAGAGUUGACUCUGAAGGGUCCUAGCUCCUCAAAGGCUCCAUACCCAAGUGAAGAACAGCCAGGUCCUGUGUGUUUCAAAUAUUAUGUUAUCAGCAUCAAAUUUUUCAAACUCUAGAGUCUAGGUAAACAUGUGUAGCUUCUGUAGACUCGACUCAUAUACUUGUUAGUAAAAUCAAAUGUGUUUUACUACUAUGUUUCACUACUAUGAAAAUGAAGUUAUGUUAUCGAUCAAACAUUAAGUAGUAAUCGAUCAAUACUUCUUAUCAUGUCUGGUGUUGUAUAUUGGCUUACUACAGUUUUAGUCGAACUAUUAUGGUUUUAGACAUUUAUGCAACUUCAUGGUAACUGUAUUCAUCGGUAAUUUUCACAAUUUCAAGGAACAUAAUGUAAAUUGACAAAGAUACAGUAGAAAACAUAAAAAGUUGAAGAAACACACAGAAUGACAAAACCCCUAAAAAAAGGACAAAAGUUAUUAUCAGCAUAAAACAGUUUGUGAGGCUAUUUUUACCUCCAUUGAGCCACAAUACUAAUGGUUUAGUUGAAGAGUUAUAUGGAGACUCCACAAAAUAAUAAAAAAGUGCUCUUCCGGCCUCAGGUUCAACAGUCACAUAACCAGAGUAUUGGUCAAAAUCUACACCAUCGGGUUGACCAGGCAAUGUGACGAUCUUGUCAGCUAGUCUUAGCUCCUCUUGAGGUGCUGCAACAUAAGCAGCAGAAGAAGAAAGUGUUUUCAAUGCUUCUCCCUCUUCCCAAGAAAGAGUCUUGGGAGGAUUCUGUGAUUUUCUAGACAGAAAAAGCUCAUCAAGUUUAUCAGCUUGACUAGCUUUGCUAUAAGGAAAAAUAACCAAGAGACUCAAGUUGAGUAAUAAACAAGCAUAAAGAGAAAU
RNAcentral lists this long non-coding RNA (24347 nucleotides) under Medicago truncatula (barrel medic). RNAcentral describes it as "long non-coding RNA (MTRU_LNC000943)". The record is from RNAcentral. Lineage: Eukaryota; Viridiplantae; Streptophyta; Magnoliopsida; Fabales; Fabaceae.